GACUGGCUCACCACCUCACCUAACAGUUAUUGGUGAUGGGUCAACCGAUGAGUGGACAACUCUUGUCCAAUGAUUCUCUAAUCAUGGUGCACCCAAAACUUGAUCUCUAAUUCAUGAAGCUCACCGUGUCCGAAAUAUUGCUCCAAUCUUUAGUUAAGUCAGACCCACCAUUUGCACGAACUAGUUUCUUGAUUGAGUCCCUCACCAUAUCCAAAAUAUUGAGCACAAUCCAUCCUCUAAUCCGUAGCAUCCAAUGCCUAAUGGACAUAGUUGCGUCUUUCCGGUGCAACUGAGCCACUGUAACCAGUCGAGAACAAUCAA
RNAcentral lists this long non-coding RNA (321 nucleotides) under Elaeis guineensis (African oil palm). RNAcentral's name for it is "long non-coding RNA (EGUI_LNC007078)". Lineage: Eukaryota; Viridiplantae; Streptophyta; Magnoliopsida; Arecales; Arecaceae. The record is from RNAcentral.